Molecule: ribosomal RNA, 606 nt
Filed under: Basidiomycota sp. TP-Snow-Y71
Lineage: Eukaryota; Fungi; Basidiomycota
Description: eukaryotic LSU rRNA
Rfam family: 5.8S ribosomal RNA (bases 179-332)
Source: RNAcentral
UCCGUAGGUGAACCUGCGGAAGGAUCAUUAGUGAAUUUUAGCGCAUCUGCUUGCAGAGCGUGACCUCCACUCUAUACACUGUGCACUCAUUGGCAGGAGAACGAGAGAAAUCUCAAUUUUCUGCGGCUCACUUUUAAACACCAGUCAAAGUAUGUAUACGAAAUAUCGAAAAAAGAAAAACUUUCAACAACGGAUCUCUUGGCUCUCGCAUCGAUGAAGAACGCAGCGAAAUGUGAUAAGUAAUGUGAAUUGCAGAAUUCAGUGAAUCAUCGAAUCUUUGAACGCACCUUGCGGUCUCUGGUAUUCCGGAGACCAUGUCUGUUUGAGUGUCAUGAACUCUUCAACCCACCUAUUUCUUGUAGAUAGAUUGGUGUUUGGAUUUUGAAUGUUGCUGGUCGAAAGAUCUUAGCUCAUUCGUAAUAUAUUAGCAUCUCUAAUUCGUAAUUCGGAUUGACUCAGUGUAAUAGACUAUUUGCUGAGGACACUGGCAACAGUGGCCGAAUUUUGAUAACAGUAGAAGCUUCUAACUUUUGUAGUCAAUUUUAUUUUAGACCUCAGAUCAGGCAGGAUUACCCGCUGAACUUAAGCAUAUCAAUAAGCGGAGGA